UUUUAACCGCGCGAAGGUAGCGUAAUCACUUGUUUUCUAAAUAAAGACUAGUAUGAACGGCCACACGAGGACUUAACUGUCUCCUUUGUCUAAUCAGUGAAACUGAUCCCCCCGUGCAGAAGCGGGGAUAACACCAUAAGACGAGAAGACCCUAUGGAGCUUUAAACCAAACUAACUACCUCCCUUAAACCUCUAAGGAGCUAAUUUGACAAGGUUAGAUUUAUUUAGGUUUUAGGUUGGGGCGACCAUGAAGAAAAACUUAACCUUCUUGACGAUUUACAAACCUAGAGCUACAGCUCUAAGUAUUAAGAUACUUAACCCUCAUUGACCCACUUUGUGAUCAACGGACCAAGUUACCCUAGGGAUAACAGCGCAAUCCAUUUCAAGAGUCCUUAUCGACAAAUGGGUUUACGACCUCGAUGUUGGAUCAGGGCACCCAAGUGGUGCAACCGCUACUAACG
RNAcentral lists this ribosomal RNA (461 nucleotides) under Pelobatrachus kalimantanensis (Kalimantan horned frog). RNAcentral describes it as "partial 16S ribosomal RNA". It matches the Rfam family "Bacterial large subunit ribosomal RNA", at positions 1940 to 2570 of the family's 2925-position model. The record is from RNAcentral. Lineage: Eukaryota; Metazoa; Chordata; Amphibia; Anura; Megophryidae.